UACAGAGGUGGCAAGCGUUGUUCGGAAUUACUGGGCGUAAAGGGCGCGUAGGCGGCCGCCUAAGUCAGACGUGAAAUCCCCAGGCUCAACCUGGGAACUGCGUCUGAUACUGGGUGGCUUGAGUCCGGGAGAGGGAUGCGGAAUUCCAGGUGUAGCGGUGAAAUGCGUAGAUAUCUGGAGGAACACCGGUGGCGAAGGCGGCAUCCUGGACCGGAACUGACGCUGAGGCGCGAAAGCUAGGGGAGCAAACGGG
This 253-nucleotide ribosomal RNA is filed under the name uncultured bacterium. Its description in RNAcentral is "partial 16S ribosomal RNA". It matches the Rfam family "Bacterial small subunit ribosomal RNA", at positions 524 to 776 of the family's 1533-position model. The record is from RNAcentral.